UACGUAGGGUGCAAGCGUUGUCCGGAAUUAUUGGGCGUAAAGAGCUCGUAUGCGGUUCGUCGCGUCGGCUGUGAAAACCCGGAGCUCAACUCCGGGCCUGCAGUCGAUACGGGCGGACUCGAGUUCGGCAGGGGAGACUGGAAUUCCUGGUGUAGCGGUGAAAUGCGCAGAUAUCAGGAGGAACACCGGUGGCGAAGGCGGGUCUCUGGGCCGAUACUGACGCUGAGGAGCGAAAGCGUGGGGAGCGAACAGG
Molecule: ribosomal RNA, 253 nt
Filed under: uncultured bacterium
Lineage: Bacteria
Description: partial 16S ribosomal RNA
Rfam family: Bacterial small subunit ribosomal RNA
Source: RNAcentral